RNAcentral lists this long non-coding RNA (5146 nucleotides) under Olea europaea (common olive). Its description in RNAcentral is "long non-coding RNA (OEUR_LNC010007)". Lineage: Eukaryota; Viridiplantae; Streptophyta; Magnoliopsida; Lamiales; Oleaceae. The record is from RNAcentral.
CGCAAUAGUAAAGUAUGCCAAGUGGCUGAAGAAUAAGAUGUACGAUAUAAGCCACAAUGAUUUUAAUAACAUACGCAAUCUUACCAUAAUAACAUUUACUAUACAAGGGGACACACACAAUACAUAGAGAUGGACAAAAUAUUUGACAAGGAUUUUUGUCUUACAAUACUCAGCAACAUAACACCAAUACAACACCGAUCAGAACAACAGAAAAAUUACGAAUCUUUUUUUCCACGCAUUGAAUUGACUUGAGAAAACAUAGAAAGUCACAAUGUCUAUUCUUUUUUUGCAGGAUAAACAAUGGAAAAACAAAUAUCGAAAACUACCAACAGAAUCAAACGACUCUGCCACACAUUGAAAGACCCUCAUUUUGGUAACUAGUAAUCGAAUGAUAGGGUCUUCUGCACUUUGAAGGCAGUGGAGGAUCUCAAAUUUUGAAUUUGAGUGUCCUCUUCCUCGACAGGAUCUACACUCCAAUUCAAUUGAUUGACACCAAAAGUCAGUACAUUGAUACUCUCUUCUGUCUCUUUUGAUAUGUUCGAUUCUUGGUAAACCCCAAGAUAAGUCUUAAUAUAUUGCGCUAACGUCUCUUUCACAUCUUCUUUGUACACUAAGCAAAUCCCACAUCCUCUUGGCUUAACCUACGCCUCUUCCAUUGUCCUAAUUGUAAGACAUCCAUCUAUUUUAGCCCAAUCAUCUAACCGAAAUUUCAGAAAUUGAAGCUGGAAAAGAUGGAAUGAUACGUAGCUUAUCCACACAAGAGCAGAUUUAUAGUUCUCUUCUAUCUUGAUGAUCCCUUUCCCCUUUGCCAGGUAACGUGGCAUGGAUUCGUGUUAAACACCUCCAACAUUCAUAGAAAUACUUUCUUUUUCUUACUAGAUUUCCUAUUGAUGCAAUAACCUAAGCGUUAUUUUAUUAGUUUUUUCCUACUAAUUAGGCAUCAAAACCAUAAAAAGUAAUUAGGAUCUAUCUCAUUCCAUGUUAACAAAGAAGGUUGAAACAUGCCCUCUAAGCACCAGAGAAAGCUAUCCUACCACCACCUAAACAGUUUAAACUUAGUUAUGUAUUAAAAAUCCCGUCCGCAUUUACUCUAAGUAUGAACCAUGGAAUCAGCAUUGAUUUAGUACAGAUAAUUACUAAAUCCAUGUAGUAAGAGUAAUUGCUCUUGCACGUACUGGAAAGGGCAGAAUUUAGAGACCAAAGAGUUUAGUAACUCAUCAGCGGCAUAUUUGAACAGUUUGAAGCAAUUGAAAAAUGAGAUCUUCUACAAGAACGUAUGCUUUCCUGAGAUAUCAGCCAAGCUCUGUAAUGAAUGGCAAUCAUCUGCACCUAGAACAGCUAUACUUUUUGGUAAAUCUGGCAGUGAUUCAAGACUUGAGCAACUUUCUAGUGUCAGGAUUUUUAGCCGAGGAAGUUCAGAAAUCUUUUCAGGAAAUUUACGAAGUUAUUUCUGCUCAGAUCUAACACUUCCAGACACAAUAAGCUGCCAAGAUCAGCUGAAAUUUCCUCAAGUAGAUCGCAAGAACUGAAAAACUGGCUGAAGUGACUACUUAAGUAUUAUCUGUUGAAUGAUUAUAAAUUUGUGCACAAUAUUUAGCGCCGACUAGAUUUCGAAAUCUGUGGAUUAUUUCACAUACCUAUUGAAGAAAAUGUAACUUAGAUUUAUGAGAAUAAUUAGAUGGACAAAAAAAUUAUUUGUGCUCGUACGCAAUUAUUGGAUCUUGGGUGGAGCUAAAAUAUAUAAGGUAGAUAAGAGAAAAAUGUAACUUAAGUUGGUGAGAGUCCCUUGUUAUUGCUUUUAUUUAAAAAAUAAAGAUUAAUAAUUAGAUUGGACAAAGGAUUGACUAGAUAUUAUCUAAAUUAUUGGAGCUUGUAAGAUAUAUGUUCGAACAGGUCCUUUGGUAGCUCUAUAAAGUUUUGGACUCAAUUACAAUUGCUGUGAUAGUUUUGGAUUUAUACGUAAUUGUAUUCAAAGUUUAGGAACUACACUUGAAAUUGCAUCAAUGAUGGUCUAAUUAGACUUGGACUUAGAAGGAAACACCAUUUUUUUCUAUAUAAGUAAUCAAAGGGGCGCCUUGGAAACUAUACUUAACACUAGGUGCAUUUUCUUUCUUAAAAAGGGAAAAAAUGCUUUCAUGCUUUCUUGAUCUAUCAAGUGUAGAAUUAGAUAUUUAAUUUAAUUGAAAGGAUGUUCAUACAUCGAUAUAGUCUAUAUUCUUGAGAAUACCAUAAAAAAAGGCUGAAAGCUUCAAGUUUCAGGGUUUUACACCCUUUGAUGUAGUACAAUAAUUGUAUUUUCCCCAACUCAUGAGUUCGUAUCUUUGGCGCCAAAUUUUUUGACUACUAUUCAAUAAAUUUUUAAAACAUCACUACAAUUUUGAGCCAUCACAAAUUUAGUUAUGGCACCUGAUGAGUGUGUUUCACUCACUUUUAUACCUUUUUAACUUGAUUAUUGGCUAGAUUCUAUAAGUAUUGAACAUUUUUAAUGUGUUUGUUAGAGUUGUUUUACGGGUUUGAUGAGGUGGCUUCAGAGACAGGAAAAAACAGCAUAGUACCACACCUAGGCACCCAGGUGCUACACCCAAAAAAAAAAAAAAAAAAGGGGAGAAAACCAUUGAUAGAAAGGGUGUCGCCCCUUGGGUGCUGAGGUGCUACCUAUAAAUCCUUCGCGGCGUCAGCACUUAAAAAUUUUAAAAAAUUAUAAAAAAUUUAAUGGAUUUCAAUAUCUUUAAAAUUGUGACACUUCAAAAUUGUAUUAAGGUGUCAAAAUUUUGUGGAAGACCAUAGAUGUAGGCUCUUGCCAACCCUCCUUUCAACAAGGAGAAAAGAAGGGCAAAAAUUAACUCCUAUUAGCAGAUCCGCAAUCCAAAAUAGAAAACUUGUGCAUGAUGUAGCAGAAGGCGAAGGAAUACAAAUUGUAGGGACCAUAAGUCCUCCAUAUGUAACUUUGAUAGGAAAUUUACCCAUACAGCAUGAGAAUUUGAUAAUAGCCUAAAUCAAUGGUAUCAAUAUAUGUUCAUCGCAAUUGUAAAGUGUGUCAAACAGCUUCAGAAUAAAGCCAUAGAAGUCACAAUGAUUUCAAUAACAUACACAACCCUCACCAUAAUACCAUUUAUUGUACAAGGGUACACACACAAUACAUAGAAAGACCGUCUAAAAUAAGCAAUACUAAGGAAUAGAACACCCAAUACAUCAUCAAUCUGAGCAAUAGAAAAAUUACGAAUUUUUUUUUCCAAGCAUUCAAUUUAAUUGAGCAAACCACGAUAUUUACUCUCUCUCUCUCUCUCUCUCUCUCUCUCUCUCUCUCUCUCUCUCUCUCUCUCUCUCUCUCUCUCUNNNNNNNNNNNNNNNNNNNNNNNNNNNNNNNNNNNNNNNNNNNNNGUUUUGCACAAAAAAAAAAAGGGAAAAAAAACAUAGAAAAUUCCCAACAGAGUCAAACAACUCUGGAAAACAUUGAAAGACCCUCAUUCUGGUAACUAAUAAUCGAAUGAUAGGGUCUUCUAUACUUUGAAAGCAGUGGAGGAUCUCAAACUUUGAAUUUGAGUGCCCUCUUCCUCGACAAGAUCUACACUCCAGUUCAAUUGAUUGACACCAAAAGUCAGUACAUUGAUACUCUCUUCUGCAUCUUUUGAUAUGUUCAAUUCUUGGUCAACCCUAGGAUAAGUCUCCAUAUGUUGCGCCAAUGUCUUUUUCACAUCUUCUUUGUACACUAAGCGAAUCCCACAUCCUCUUGGCUGAAUCCAUGCCUCUUCCGUUGUCCUAAUUGUAAGACAUCCAUCUAUUUUAGCCCAAUCAUCUGAAUGAAAUUUCGGAAAUAGAAGCUGGAAAAGAUGGAAUGAUACAUUGCCUAUCCGCACAUGAGCAGAUUCAUAGUUCUCUUCCAGCUUAGUGGCAGUUAGAGUGAUAUUAGCAGUGAACUCCACAUGAUCCUGGCUUAUCAAUUUUAACGUGACCCCAACUUUUGAUUUUGACACCAGACGCUCAAAGACAAAGGAGACUGCAACCCCAGUGACAUUCUUAUGCCAAUCUGGAGUUAAGGGGAUGGUUACUGAAUGACUCAUGCUUUGAUGGCUGAACCAUUCUGGAAGCUCCCUUCCAGGAAUGAUUAAACUAAAUCGAUUAUCAACAACAGGUUAUCCCUGUAACAGGAAAUCAUGUGAAUAAACUUCCAGAGUUUUAUAACUACAUUUAUAUAACUCGUGUUAUGUUAUUGAUAUAAAGAUGCUUAAAUAAUUCGUUCAGUGCUUAAUGAAGCCGUUACCUCAUACAAAAGACUGCUUAUAUGUUCUAUGUAUUAUUGUAAGCCUUAAAUAGCAUCUCUAUAACGUUGCAGGUUCACUUUUUUCCAGUUUUUUCUACAGAUUUCUGAUUUUAUUGAAGUGUUACUUUACUAAUUUCUUCUCUACUAAUUAGGCAUCACAAGCAUAAAAUUAAUUAGGAUCUUUCUCAUUUCAUCUUAACAAAGAAGGUGGAAACAUGCCUCCAAAGCAUUAGAGAUAGCUAUCCACCCACCACCUAACCAAUUUAAACUUAGUAAUGUGUUAAAAUCCUGCAUUUAUUCACUCUAUGUAUGAACCAUGGAGUCAGCAUUAUUUAGCAGAGAUAAUUACUGAAUAAAUCUUAGUAGUAAGAGGAACUGUACUUACACGUGUACUGAAAGGAGAGAAUUUGGAGACCAACUUGUAAAGACGAGGUUCCAAUAGAUAUUAGAGAUUACAACAAUAAAAUGUGCAGUAAUGUAAAAUCAAAUGACAAGAAACGUAGAUAUCAUUAAAAAAUUCCCUAAGGCAGUAACAGAUCGAAGAAUCGCCCAAAAAUAUAAGUGCUUCUGUGUCCGGAACAACCCACUGCCAGUUGAUCUUUAACCAAGGCUUAGAAAUCAGGGUGUUUUUGCACUCAGACUAGAAUCAUCCAAGAUCACAGAAGAUUCGAUAUUCUCACUUCGCACAAAAAAUAAAUAAAUAAAAAAAAAAUGUUCACACAAGAACACACACCACUUCUAAGUAAAAGAAUCACUCAAGAUUAUUAAAAACCGAUUUGAGAAAGUGAUGAAAUUCAAAUGAGAUCUUUGAUUUUCAGAGAGAAGGAGAAGAAUAACUCAAAUGGCUAGAGUAGAGAGAAGUCCCUAUAAAACUAGGAAAAUCAC